ACAAUGACUCUCGGCAACGGAUAUCUCGGCUCUCGCAUCGAUGAAGAACGCAGCGAAAUGCGAUACAUGGUGUGAAUUGCAGAAUCCCGUGAAUCAUCGAGUUUUUGAACGCAAGUUGCGCCUGAGACCUCUAGGUUGAGGGCACGCCUGCCUGGGUGUCAUG
RNAcentral lists this ribosomal RNA (163 nucleotides) under Misodendrum quadriflorum. RNAcentral's name for it is "5.8S ribosomal RNA". It matches the Rfam family "5.8S ribosomal RNA". From Rfam's summary of the family: 5.8S ribosomal RNA (5.8S rRNA) is a component of the large subunit of the eukaryotic ribosome. It is transcribed by RNA polymerase I as part of the 45S precursor that also contains 18S and 28S rRNA. The record is from RNAcentral. Lineage: Eukaryota; Viridiplantae; Streptophyta; Magnoliopsida; Santalales; Misodendraceae.